GCCGGGCAUGGUGGUGCACGCCUGUAAUCUCAGCUACUUGGGAGGCUGAGGCAGGAGAAUCGCUUGAGCCUGGGAAGUGGAGGUUGCAGUGAGCCAAGAUCGUGCCACUGCACUCCAGCCUGAGCAAUAGAGCGAGACUCUGUCUCAA
Molecule: non-coding RNA, 148 nt
Filed under: Nomascus leucogenys (northern white-cheeked gibbon)
Lineage: Eukaryota; Metazoa; Chordata; Mammalia; Primates; Hylobatidae
Source: Rfam by way of RNAcentral